UACGAAGGGGGCUAGCGUUGCUCGGAAUUACUGGGCGUAAAGCGCACGUAGGCGGGUUCUUAAGUCGGUGGUGAAAUCCUGGAGCUCAACUCCAGAACUGCCUUCGAAACUGGGAAUCUUGAGUCCGGGAGAGGUGAGUGGAACUGCGAGUGUAGAGGUGAAAUUCGUAGAUAUUCGCAAGAACACCAGUGGCGAAGGCGGCUCACUGGCCCGAUACUGACGCUGAGGCACGAAAGCGUGGGGAGCGAACAGG
RNAcentral lists this ribosomal RNA (253 nucleotides) under uncultured bacterium. Its description in RNAcentral is "partial 16S ribosomal RNA". It matches the Rfam family "Bacterial small subunit ribosomal RNA", at positions 524 to 776 of the family's 1533-position model. The record is from RNAcentral.